This is a long non-coding RNA of Oncorhynchus keta (chum salmon), 2066 nucleotides long. RefSeq lists it as uncharacterized. The record is from RefSeq and is a predicted model, not a curated record. NCBI's taxonomy places the organism in Eukaryota, Metazoa, Chordata, Actinopteri, Salmoniformes, Salmonidae. The transcript has 10 exons.
AUAGUUGCACCAUUGUUCUUACAUAAUAUAACCAUAUACAAUUUCAGCAGCACAUCUUAGAGGGAUUUACUGUGCCACAGUAAUGGUGCGUAGGUGAAAUCAUUGGGGAAGCCAAGACAGGUGUAGGUCAUGACAGGGUUUUAAAAAAGCCAUCUUACAACCUGUGUGUUGUGAUAAUUGCAUGAUUUGCUCUAUAACCUGUUAGUUCAUAUGCCUUGACACCGUGAUAUAUAGGUCUGAGGCCGAGACAAUAAGAAGAUACAGUGAUAUAUAGGUCUGAGGCCGAGACAAUAAGAAGAUACAGUGAUAUAUAGGUCUGAGGCCGAGACAAUAAGAAGAUACAGUGAUAUAUAGGUCUGAGGCCGAGACAAUAAGAAGAUACAGUGAUAUAUAGGUCUGAGGCCGAGACAAUAAGAAGAUACAGUGAUAUAUAGGUCUGAGGCCGAGACAAUAAGAAGAUACAGUGAUAUAUAGGUCUGAGGCCGAGACAAUAAGAAGAUACAGUGAUAUAUAGGUCUGAGGCCGAGACAAUAAGAAGAUACAGUGAUAUAUAGGUCUGAGGCCGAGACAAUAAGAAGACACAGUGAUAUAUAGGUCUGAGGCCGAGACAAUAAGAAGAUACAGUGAUAUAUAGGUCUGAGGCCGAGACAAUAAGAAGAUACAGUGAUAUAUAGGUCUGAGGCCGAGACAAUAAGAAGAUACAGUGAUAUAUAGGCCUGAGGCCGAGACAAUAAGAAGAUACAGUGAUAUAUAGGUCUGAGGCCGAGACAAUAAGAAGAUACAGUGAUAUAUAGGUCUGAGGCCGAGACAAUAAGAAGAUACAGUGAUAUAUAGGUCUGAGGCCGAGACAAUAAGAAGAUACAGUGAUAUAUAGGCCUGAGGCCGAGACAAUAAGAAGAUACAGUGAUAUAUAGGUCUGAGGCCGAGACAAUAAGAAGAUACAGUGAUAUAUAGGUCUGAGGCCGAGACAAUAAGAAGAUACAGUGAUAUAUAGGUCUGAGGCCGAGACAAUAAGAAGAUACAGUGAUAUAUAGGUCUGAGGCCGAGACAAUAAGAAGACACAGUGAUAUAUAGGUCUGAGGCCGAGACAAUAAGAAGAUACAGUGAUAUAUAGGUCUGAGGCCGAGACAAUAAGAAGAUACAGUGAUAUAUAGGUCUGAGGCCGAGACAAUAAGAAGAUACAGUGAUAUAUAGGUCUGAGGCCGAGACAAUAAGAAGAUACAGUGAUAUAUAGGUCUGAGGCCGAGACAAUAAGAAGACACAGUGAUAUAUAGGUCUGAGGCCGAGACAAUAAGAAGAUACAGUGAUAUAUAGGUCUGAGGCCGAGACAAUAAGAAGAUACAGUGAUAUAUAGGCCUGAGGCCGAGACAAUAAGAAGAUACAGUGAUAUAUAGGUCUGAGGCCGAGACAAUAAGAAGAUACAGUGAUAUAUAGGUCUGAGGCCGAGACAAUAAGAAGAUACAGUGAUAUAUAGGUCUGAGGCCGAGACAAUAAGAAGAUACAGUGAUAUAUAGGUCUGAGGCCGAGACAAUAAGAAGAUACAGUGAUAUAUAGGCCUGAGGCCGAGACAAUAAGAAGAUACAGUGAUAUAUAGGUCUGAGGCCGAGACAAUAAGAAGAUACAGUGAUAUAUAGGUCUGAGGCCGAGACAAUAAGAAGAUACAGUGAUAUAUAGGCCUGAGGCCGAGACAAUAAGAAGAUACAGUGAUAUAUAGGUCUGAGGCCGAGACAAUAAGAAGAUACAGUGAUAUAUAGGUCUGAGGCCGAGACAAUAAGAAGAUACAGUGAUAUAUAGGUCUGAGGCCGAGACAAUAAGAAGAUACAGUGAUAUAUAGGUCUGAGGCCGAGACAAUAAGAAGAUACAGUGAUAUAUAGGUCUGAGGCCGAGACAAUAAGAAGACACAGUGAUAUAUAGGUCUGAGGCCGAGACAAUAAGAAGAUACAGUGAUAUAUAGGUCUGAGGCCGAGACAAUAAGAAGAUACAGUGAUAUAUAGGUCUGAGGCCGAGACAAUAAGAAGAUACAGUGAUAUAUAGGCCUGAGGCCGAGACAAUAAGAAGAUACAGUG